RNAcentral lists this long non-coding RNA (2128 nucleotides) under Solanum lycopersicum (tomato). RNAcentral describes it as "long non-coding RNA (SLYC_LNC001306)". Lineage: Eukaryota; Viridiplantae; Streptophyta; Magnoliopsida; Solanales; Solanaceae. The record is from RNAcentral.
UCUAACAUAAAUAAGUUGAUAAAAUAAAAUAAACAAGUAGCACGUAACUCCUUCGCCCUUAGGCGAUUCCCCGGGUUAUUUAAUAAUAUUAGAGAGUUAGAGUUACUACAUGUAUUACAAUAGCAAACUAAAAAUGGAGCAAUAGAAAUAUAAUAAUAAACUAAAUCUUGUCCGGAAACCCAUGUCAAGCGACUAUUCAUCUCUUGAGCUUUUAGUUCAAACCUGCUAAACAAAAUACUAAAGGCGAGAGCUACAUAGAUGGAAACACAUAAUUAUUCACAACCAACACACGAGUUUCAGACGAAUUCAAACAUAUCAUACCACACAUUGAUAGAAAGGACUAAUACAAGACUAAUAUAAAUACUAAAUAAGAAUACUAACCAGUUAAGCAGAAAAAAUUAUCAGCAAUGGAGACAACAUAAUCCAUCUUUCGACCCAAACACACCAAAUUAGCAAAGAAAGCACUUGAAUGUUUAUAGGAAUCUUAAUUAUUUUAAGAGUAGAGAGCAACAUAUUAUUAGUAUUCAAUUAUAAGCAAUGAAAGAAUGUGAGGGGGUUAAGAAUAAUCAAGGGAGGGGUCCUAUUAAUAUAGUGGGUGAGACGUGAUUUAGAAGGGAAAAAAAAUAUGUUUUGAGGAAUCAAUUAAAUCACAAUUUUCUUAUUUCAAAGGAACGCCAAAAUUAGAGUUAUUUUUAAAUUUUUUACCUAAUAUGAAAACAUUGUAAUAGAUCCAUCAAUUUUAAUUAAGGAAACAGGGACAAUUACUAGCCUUUGGAAACUUAGCUACUUAAGUCCUUCUCAUUUUUUUUAAAAUUUAAGAGAGCCAAACAAGAAAUAAUUAUUUUUUUACCAAUUAUAAUAAAAAAUCUGUCAAGAUUCCAAUUAAACAAAAUGAGACAAGUGAGAAUGACCCAUACAAGGAAAAAGUUACCUAUGCAAUCACAAAAUAAUUUAUUUUUCCUAACAGGGGAGAACCAAAUCAGCCAAAUAUAUGCACACCACAAAUAAAUCAAUCUACACGCAUUUAUCAUGCAUAAACAUAUAGAGUCGUUGUUAGUAACUAAUCCACUAACAAACGCUUCAAAAAUAAACGUUAAAAUUAUAAAUCAUCUAACUAUACUGCAUACCACUAACAUGUAAGUAGAACAAGUCGUCAAAAUGGAAAAUCAAAACAAACUGGAAAAACUCUGGCAAUAGUAAUUAAGAGAAGUAAUUACAGUAGAAGCGAUUUAGGGAAAAUCAAUACUUUUACACUUGGAAGAUCAACAGUCAUGACAAUAUAAGUAGUAUGAAUCCAUUAAGCGAGCUGGAGCAACAAAUUAAUAUAUCCAACCAAGUAUCAAAAUAUUAACGUAUUUCAUAAAAUUUGGAAAUCCCACCUAGCAGUACUAAAAUGAAUUCAAACUAUUCUGAAUAUGCAUAGAACUUCCAUAUCAAAGUCACAUAGCAAAUAAGAAGAAGAAUAAAAUUGCUAAAAGAUGAGAUAUAACUGAUGUACCUGAAUGGAUCUGUUAAAGAUCCAUCUUUUGACCAACUUAAAGGUUUCAAAGGGUUUGGCUAGAGCUUGCCUUGCUCACUGGCUGGAGCUUGUUGGUUUUUGUUGUCGCAACUGCUUCUCUCAACUGCUACUGGUCGUUGAGCGCUGCUGCUCAUUCCUGUUGGGCGCAACUGCUGGAGAAAAGAAAAGAGAGGAGGCGGGGACACUGGCCGCGCUGCUGGUGGUGGUCGCUGCUGCUGCUGUCUAUUGUUGGUCAUCCUUGCUGUAGAAAAGAGAGGAGGAGAGGGGGAGACAGAUAAUAAGAAGGGAGGAUGGAGGAUGGAGUCUUGACGGAUAGAAUGGAGGAAUGAGAGAGAGGGAGAGAAGGAUAGAGAGAGGGGUUGAAAGGCGUCUCACCGGUGUUCACCGUGGAGGAGGAAAAGCAGCGGCGCUGCUUGGAGAGAAGGAAGAGAGAAUAAAAAAGUUUAAGGGUUGGUGGUCUUUUUAGAAUUAAAAUAGGAAAGAAAGUUGGAUAGAUCUGAACCGUUGAUUUAGAUAAAUAGGGUUAAGAUUCGAUCAGGAUCUACUUAAAGAAUGAAUUCUGAGAUUAAAAGAUUAAAUUUUAGAAUCAAAUUGGAUUGAGGAUUGGAA